UACGGGGGGGGCAAGCGUUGUUCGGAAUUACUGGGCGUAAAGGGCUCGUAGGCGGCCAACUAAGUCAGAUGUGAAAUCCCUCGGCUUAACCGGGGAACUGCGUCUGAUACUGGAUGGCUUGAAUCCGGGAGAGGGAUGCGGAAUUCCAGGUGUAGCGGUGAGAUGCGUAGAUAUCUGGAGGAACACCGGUGGCGAAGGCGGCAUCCUGGACCGGCAUUGACGCUGAGGAGCGAAAGCCAGGGGAGCAAACGGG
Molecule: ribosomal RNA, 253 nt
Filed under: uncultured bacterium
Lineage: Bacteria
Description: partial 16S ribosomal RNA
Rfam family: Bacterial small subunit ribosomal RNA
Source: RNAcentral